GAAGGGACCUAGCGUAGUUCGGAAUUACUGGGCUUAAAGAGUUCGUAGGUGGUUAAAAAAGUUGAUGGUGAAAUCCCAGAGCUCAACCUUGGAACUGCCAUCAAAACUUUUUAGCUAGAGUGUGAUAGAGGUAAGUGGAAUUUCUAGUGUAGAGGUGAAAUUCGUAGAUAUUAGAAAGAACACCAAAUGCGAAGGCAACUUACUGGGUCACUACUGACACUGAGGAGCGAAAGCAUGGGUAGCGAAGAGGAUUAGAUACCCUGGUAGUCCACGCCGUAAACGAUGUGUGCUAGCUGUUGGAAAUUUAUUUUCAGUGGCUGAGCUAACGUAUUAAGCACACCGCCUGGGGAGUACGGCCGCAAGGUUAAAACUCAAAGGAAUUGACGGGGACCCGCACAAGCGGUGGAGCAUGUGGUUUAAUUCGAUGAUACGCGAAGUACCUUACCUACCCUUGACAU
RNAcentral lists this ribosomal RNA (458 nucleotides) under uncultured Alphaproteobacteria bacterium. RNAcentral describes it as "bacterial SSU rRNA". It matches the Rfam family "Bacterial small subunit ribosomal RNA", at positions 527 to 987 of the family's 1533-position model. The record is from RNAcentral. Lineage: Bacteria; Pseudomonadati; Pseudomonadota; Alphaproteobacteria.